UUCUUCAGGGCAGGGUGAAAUUCCCGACCGGCGGUAAAGUCCGCGAGCCGUAAGGCAGAUUCGGUGCAACUCCGAGACCGACAGUAUAGUCUGGAUGGAAGAAGAA
This 106-nucleotide non-coding RNA is filed under the name human gut metagenome. RNAcentral's name for it is "FMN riboswitch (RFN element)". It matches the Rfam family "FMN riboswitch aptamer (RFN element)". From Rfam's summary of the family: The RFN element is a highly conserved domain that is found frequently in the 5'-untranslated regions of prokaryotic mRNAs that encode for flavin mononucleotide (FMN) biosynthesis and transport proteins. This element is a metabolite-dependent riboswitch that directly binds FMN in the absence of proteins. RNAcentral also lists the same sequence under 1 other name. The record is from RNAcentral.